This 515-nucleotide long non-coding RNA is filed under the name Anser brachyrhynchus (Pink-footed goose). RNAcentral's name for it is "lncRNA (ENSABRG00000012897.1)". Lineage: Eukaryota; Metazoa; Chordata; Aves; Anseriformes; Anatidae. The record is from RNAcentral.
UUUUGAUUUCAAAGAUAUAAUUUCAUUAAAGUUUUCUGAACAAAUUGGUUAAGUCAGCUCUGCUUAGCCUGAAUUCUGCUUGGAAAACUGAAAGAGAGGUCAGACGUGCAAAGACCACUUCAGCUUGUGACCUUCACUAUAGUCAGCAAGGUUGCUUAAACUUCAGGCUUCAUCACUAAGUUGAAAUGACACAGGAAAACCUGAAAUGGCUCUUUAGGUCCGCCAUCACAACAGCCAUGAAACCUGGACUGUUCAACCCUUGCUGUAUAUUCACUGGACAUGGCUAAUGCACCUUCUGAACAACCCAGGAGGGAUGUUCUACUUAUAUACAUCACUUUAAUUUCUCUGCACCAGUCUAAUUCCUGGCAUUGGACUAAGGAGGAGUUUUAGUGGAAACAUCUGUGUACAUCAGAAUUACACUUCUGGGUAACAUUCAUGAUCUUUUAUUUUUCCAGUCCAAUGAAUUACAUAAUUAGGAGCACAGUAAAGUUUUGUUGAAUUGGUUAUUAUUGAAU